Molecule: unclassified non-coding RNA, 413 nt
Filed under: soil metagenome
Description: partial contains 5.8S ribosomal RNA, internal transcribed spacer 2, and large subunit ribosomal RNA
Rfam family: 5.8S ribosomal RNA (bases 1-120)
Source: RNAcentral
GAUGAAGAACGUAGCGAAAUGCGAUAAGUAAUGUGAAUUGCAGAAUUCAGUGAAUCAUCGAAUCUUUGAACGCACCUUGCGCUCUUUGGUAUUCCGAAGAGCAUGCCUGUUUGAGUGUCAUGAAAAUAUCAACCUUGACUUGGGGUUUGUGCUCUAGUCUCGGCUUGGGAUUGGGUGCUUGCCGCUUUUACGAGCGGCUCACCUUAAAUGUAUUAGCUGGAUCUGUCUUUGAGACUUGGUUUGACUUGGCGUAAUAAGUAUUUCGCUAAGGACAUUCUUCGGAGUGGCCUCGUUUCUAGGACGCUUGUCCGCUUUCCAAUACAAGUUCCACCUCGUGGACAUGACUUUUUAUUAUCUGGCCUCAAAUCAGGUAGGACUACCCGCUGAACUUAAGCAUAUCAAUAAGCGGAGGA